RNAcentral lists this ribosomal RNA (465 nucleotides) under uncultured bacterium. Its description in RNAcentral is "partial 16S ribosomal RNA". It matches the Rfam family "Bacterial small subunit ribosomal RNA", at positions 28 to 507 of the family's 1533-position model. The record is from RNAcentral.
GACGAACGCUGGCGGCGUGCUUAACACAUGCCAGUCGAACGGAAAGGCCCCUUUGGGGGUCCUCGAGUGGCGAACGGGUGAGUAACACGUGAGUAACCUGCCCUUGACUUCGGGAUAACUUCAGGAAACUGGGGCUAAUACCGGAUAGGAAUCCUUGCUGCAUGGUGGGGGUUGGAAAGCUUCGGCGGUUUUGGAUGGACUCGCGGCUUAUCAGCUUGUUGGUGGGGUAGUGGCUUACCAAGGCUUUGACGGGUAGCCGGCCUGAGAGGGCGACCGGCCACAUUGGGACUGAGAUACGGCCCAGACUCCUACGGGAGGCAGCAGUGGGGAAUAUUGCACAAUGGGCGGAAGCCUGAUGCAGCAACGCCGCGUGCGGGAGGACGGCCUUCGGGUUGUAAACCGCUUUCAGCAGGGGCGAAGCUUGUGGUGACGGUACCUUCAGAAGAAGCACCGGCUAACUACGUG